RNAcentral lists this long non-coding RNA (249 nucleotides) under Eucalyptus grandis. RNAcentral describes it as "long non-coding RNA (EGRA_LNC002496)". The record is from RNAcentral. Lineage: Eukaryota; Viridiplantae; Streptophyta; Magnoliopsida; Myrtales; Myrtaceae.
CAUGUUUUUUUGUCCCAACCUUCGAUUCAAGCAGCAACGAAGUAUAAAUGAAAUUGAGAUCUCCCCUUCUGCAAUACCCAUAGUACCAAGAAAAGAAAUAGAAAAGGCUAUACAUCUUAUCGAUCCAUGAGGACAUAUGGUCUUUCCCAAUUGGAAAAAUCAACAACAAAUGGAGAACUAAUCUUAAACCCCACAGGAAAAGAAACCUAUGAGAUUAAUUCAUCAAUGGACAAAGCUAACUAAAAAGAA